Molecule: ribosomal RNA, 449 nt
Filed under: uncultured bacterium
Lineage: Bacteria
Description: partial 16S ribosomal RNA
Rfam family: Bacterial small subunit ribosomal RNA
Source: RNAcentral
AAUGAACGCUGGCGGCAGGCCUAACACAUGCAAGUCGAACGGAUCCUUCGGGAUUAGUGGCGGACGGGUGAGUAACGCGUGGGAACAUACCCUUUGGUACGGAAUAGCCUCGGGAAACUGGGAGUAAUACCGUAUGUGGUCGAGAGACGAAAGAUUUAUCGCCAAAGGAUUGGCCCGCGUUGGAUUAGGUAGUUGGUGGGGUAAUGGCCUACCAAGCCGACGAUCCAUAGCUGGUUUGAGAGGAUGAUCAGCCACACUGGGACUGAGACACGGCCCAGACUCCUACGGGAGGCAGCAGUGGGGAAUCUUAGACAAUGGGGGAAACCCUGAUCUAGCCAUGCCGCGUGAUCGAUGAGGGCCUUAGGGUUGUAAAGAUCUUUCAGGUGGGAAGAUAAUGACUGUACCACCAGAAGAAGCCCCGGCUAACUCCGUGCCAGCAGCCGCGGUAA